UGAGAGAGCUGAGGCCCAGGGAAGGAAAGGGGUGUGUCUGAGGUGACAGGGUGAACCCAGUGUUUUUUUUUUCUGUAGCUCACUGCCCUGCCAGGAGAGGAGAAGACCUACAGACCUUGGCUUUGACCUUGAGGAAAUGGAAAACCUUGGACCUUAAAGACAGAUUUCCAUGGCUAAGACAUGGGCAGGCUGUGUGACCUUGGGCACAUUACCUAACCUCUCUGAACCUCACGUGCUAGCGAGGAUUCAGUGAGCUGACAACUGUACAGGGCCUAAAAGGCCUCCUGGCAUGGACUAAGCUCUCAGUAAACCGGUGCUUUCUUGUGAUUCAGGAGCAGAAGCUGUGACCUCAGGAGAGGGACUUGCUGACUCUGGACCUCAACUUGCUCAUCUUCAAAAUGGGGACAAUGGCGCCUCCCUCCUAGGACUGCUGUGGGGCUCAGUGAGGUUACCUGUCCCCAGACGCAGGCACGAUGGAUGGACAGUCGUCCCUGGCACACUAGGUGGAGCAAGGACAUGGCCCCUGGAACCAGCCACACCAGCUUUGAAUCUGGAUUUGCCGCAUGUAGCUGUGUGAUCCUGGGCGAGUGGCUUCAGGUCUCUUUGGCCACCUGUUAUCUGAAGACUGGGGGCAAAACUGUUUAUCCAAAAGGUCGUAACACGGAAAAAGCAGGGGAACCAUCUAAAGCACUGGUGUCCGGCUUGCAAUUUUUCAUUAGUAAAAGUCAUAUUCUCCCCUUUUCUGCCCCAACCCGUCCUCCUGUCCUUCAAAGCAUAGUCAUCCCAGAAGGCUUUGCCCCCUUUCCAGGGAAGAGUCCCUAGUUACAGGGUCCCCAGAGCACUUUCUGUCUGU
Orcinus orca (killer whale) is the source of this 853-nucleotide long non-coding RNA. RefSeq lists it as uncharacterized. The transcript is spliced from 3 exons. The record is from RefSeq and is a predicted model, not a curated record. Lineage: Eukaryota; Metazoa; Chordata; Mammalia; Artiodactyla; Delphinidae.